GAGGACGACAGCCACACGGGACUGAGACACGGCCCGACUCCUACGGGAGGCAGCAGUGGGAAUUUUCCCAAUGGGCGAAAGCCUGACGAGCAAGACCGCGUGGGGGAGAAGGCUCUUGGUUGUAAACCCCUUUUCUCUGGAAGAAAGUUGUGAAAGAACCUGACGGUACCGAGGAAUCAGCAUCGGCUAACCCGUGCCAGCAGCCGGGUAAGACGGAGGAUCAAGCGUUAUCCGGAAUGAUUGGCGUAAAGCGUCGCAGGUGGCAGUUCAAGCUGCUGUCAAAGACCGGGGCUUACCUCGGAAAGCAGUGGAAACUGAACAGCAGAGUAUGGUAGGGGCAAAGGGAUUCCUGGUGAGCGGUGAAAUGCGUAGAAUCAGGAAGAACAUCGGUGGCGAAGCGCUUUGUGGACCAUAACUGACACUCGGGACGAAAGCUAGGGGAGCGAAUGGAUUAAUACCCCAGUAGUCCUAGCCGUAAACGAUGGAUA
Molecule: ribosomal RNA, 488 nt
Filed under: uncultured bacterium
Lineage: Bacteria
Description: bacterial SSU rRNA
Rfam family: Bacterial small subunit ribosomal RNA
Source: RNAcentral